Long non-coding RNA from Motacilla alba alba, 3892 nucleotides. RefSeq lists it as uncharacterized. The record is from RefSeq and is a predicted model, not a curated record. NCBI's taxonomy places the organism in Eukaryota, Metazoa, Chordata, Aves, Passeriformes, Motacillidae. The transcript has 2 exons.
UGGGUGGAUGGACGGAUGGAUGGAUGGGUGGAUGGAUGGAUGGAUGGAUGGAUGGACGUCCAGCAGAGCUGAGAAUAGGUUAUGUAGUUGCACAGCAUCUAAAUGCAUCCUGUGUCAGUGCAAGUAGCAGCUCUGGAGGAAAGGCACAAAGUGGUGCCUUGGAAACUGGAGGCGGGUGGACUUUUCCAUAAAAUCAGCCACAUUGUGAGCAUGUGAUCUUCAUAAUAUCCACAGUGAUAAUUUCCUGAAAUUCCCUCUGAGGUCGAACUCAAAGGAAUCUGAAACUUAGGCAAAAAAUAUUUGAGUAAAAUUAUGCAAGACUUGUACAGAGCCAGAGAAAAUGAGUCACGAUUCUUGUAUUGACCUCUGGUCAGACUCAUAUUUCCAUUACAGCAAAUUUAUGUGAAUUGUGGAAUGCAGCAAAACCAGAAAAGAGACAUGGGCAGAAAUGGUCUUUUUACUAUAAGGAAUAUAGAUUUUUGAUUUUAUAUGACUGAGCUAGGUCUAUCAAUAAAAGGGGGCCCACUUUUAAGUAAAAUUUAAAUUAAACUGAAUUUUCUGCACUCUAAAUAUUUUAUUAUACUCUAGAUGUGAACAAAAAUUUUAUGAAGUUUAGAUUUUUUUUUUCAUUAGGGAAAAUUCAGCUGUUAUUUUAUAGUUCCAGUCAAAGAACACACACUUUACUCUUUUGAUGGGAGAUCCUUUAGGCAUCUUAACUGAAGUGGUGUACAUUUUCUGUUGGUCUUGAAAAGGCACUUCACUUUCCCAACAAAGAUUUUUAUGGGGUAAUGUUGAAUGUAUAUUAAAUACACAUUCCUUUUUGUAUAUUUUGUACCAUUGCACACUUAUUAUUGUACAUUGUAUUUGUUGUCAUGAUGUCAUUUAUAUAUGGUUGUCAAAGAUGAUAUGCUCACAGAGUAAAUGGUUAUGGCUUUGGGAUUUCACUUCUUGAAUCUUUUAUGAGGAGGGGUUUUAUGUUGUUGAUUUUUAUUCAACUAGUGUGUUGUAGCAUCAAAGAUAUAUAUCUGAUGGACAUUCAUAAAAUAAAGUAAAAAUAUAUUUGAAAUUUUGGACUUGAGAUGUUUGGUGGCACUGCAGCCUUUCCUGUACAUUGCUGGUCUUCAGUAAUGAGUAGAGCUUUUCACUGCCAUCAAGUUGCAUUUGUUUACAUCUCCUUUAAGUUUUCCCUUUCUCUCUCCAUAUGUUUUCUCAGCCAUAAUUACAGUUCAUUCUCCAGAACACCAUUUCUUUUUUUAUUACUGGACCCAUAUCCCUGUAAUGCAGAAAUGCCUUAAUUUUUAUGAACUAUAUUUAAUUUGACUUAAUACCGCACAGGUUUCAUUGGGUUCCCUUCUCUUUCCAUUAUAUUUUCCAAAUAAAAUGGAGUGGAAUUUUUUGACAGCUGUGACAGACUUUGCUGUAUGACUCUUCUCAGCUCUGCUUCCAAAUGGUUUAUCAUGAUGUUGUUGAACAUUCUCCCAGGCAGUCUAAUGGUGUAUCAGGUGCAGUGCUAACACAGUGGGAAGCAAACCAAUGCUGUAAACUUUUUUUACCUUAAAAUAAGAAAGCUACAUUUUCCAAGAAUUAAGCAACCGUAAACUGAAAUAUUUGAGCUGACUUCUGCUAUUAAUUUCUUUCUGUUAAAGAUGUAGUAGAGAGGGGAAGUUUCCACUUUCCCAUAAGAGACAAAUUUUGAAAGCCUUUAACAGUUCACUAAAAAGUCAGCUAUGUGUGACCUCUUCAAGUGCUCUGCCAAAAUAUACUUACAGCAACCUCCCCCUUUUCUUCCGCAUGGAAUCACACUAAAAAACUGUUAUAUGAUGCCAUAAAACAACGUGAAUCAGUCUGUUAUGUGUUCCCUUGAUUAAACGGAAUACAUUUUAUUGCUGCAUUUGCAUGCUUUUCUUUGAAAUCUGGAGUCAAGCAACUGAAUCUCUUUGAGGAUUAAGCACAUUUUAGUGGUGUCUGUAUAAAUUAUUGACAAAUUAGCAGAACAUCAUUGUCUCAGCUUUGACACUGCUUGCUAGGGGGGAAAUGCACAAAGAAUGUGUUCUGGCUUGGCUCAGAUUGUGUUAGUUGGUGUUUGUAAUAUGGAAUACAAUUGAUUAAGGUUUGGGGGAAACUAUGUCUUAGAGCCACAGAGGGAAAUUCUUCCCUCUGUGAGUAGCUUCAAUGAUCUAUAAUCUUUGUUCAAAGAAAGGAUUUUACUAUUUGCUUUUGAAAAACAGGUUCUGGGAUUCUUUGAUAGUAGAGGGGAAAGUUUGCAGGUUUUGUCCUUCCAGAGCCAGUAGUACCUGUAAAAUCAAAGUACUUAAUUAUAAUCUGAUAGCAGCAGAUGUCACCAUUUAGGAGCCAGUGGUUGUUGACUCUUCUCCAGCAGUGACCAACACAGAUGUUUCAAUGUAAGUGUAGAAGCAGCUACAAUUCAUGUUGACAUACCAAUGGGGAUAUCCUCCUCAGCAAGGAAUGCUGCUGGUUGUUCCAUAUCAUGAAGCAUGCAGGACUUAAAUAGUCAUUCUAGAUAAUAUUUGACAACUUCUCUGGGAAGCACAUUCCAGUCCCUCACCACCUUCAGAGUGUUUUCUCCUAGCAUGUAAUCUAAACACCCCUUGUUUUGGUUUAAAAACAUUCUCUCUUGUUCUGUUAUAUUAAAAAUAACUUUUUAUAAGCCCCCCUUAGGUACUGGAAGGCUGCAAUGAGGUGUCCCCAGAGCCUUCUCGUCUCAGUGAUAACCUCAAGAGAACUCUUGUGAAGUUCCGUUUAUCUUUGGUGGUAUUCUCUCUUAGUCUUUCCCCUCGUGUGCUCCAUUCACUGAAUUCCCUUGUCUUUAUCUCUUGUUGAAGACUUCUGAACUGUGCUGCUUUGGUAAGAUGUAAGGGGAGAGGAAUGGAAAUAAAAGGAAGGCAGUUCAUCCUAGAAUAUGCAGUGUGUGUCUCAGUGUACAGUGACAUCCUCAGUCACCUGGCUGGAUGUGCCCACACUGAAUUCAUGCAGCAGGAACAAGGGAGACACAAGAAUAGAGGUGAUUAUAGGCUGCCAUUGUGUUUUGGUUGUUCCUCAGGAUCUGUACAUUAGGAGCUCAUCGGGAAGAAUUCUCUAAGGUCCGUGUUCUGUGAGGCUGCUGCUGUAACAGCACCUAAAAGCCACAGCAGGGUUUUGUGAUGUGUGUUUGCUACCCCAUCCUUUUCCUCUUGCAGAACCAGCCCAGCCUAGUCCUGGCCUUUUCUUCUUGCAGUAAAAAAGCUCAGUUUUGCCUGUGCUUGUGUUGCUGAGAAGCUUUGAGGUGGCUCUGGAUAAACAGCUUCUGCCCUCUGUCUUGCAGACUGCUGGCAAUGGCACCACGGACAUCAGACUGUCUGUGGUGAUGAGUAAAGGGUUUGCUUUGGUCUCCCUUACUGUAAUUGUACUAAUUGAGUGAAAGAUUGCAGUGGAAGUCUUCCACAGAGCUGACAUUUCUGGGUGUGGUCAAGGUAUUUUGGACAUAUUUUUUCUGAUUUCCGGAAUUUGUUCCAUUCUGGGGGAAGAUAAUAUAUAUUAAAUAGCUUUUGAUUUUUCAAUUUCAAAAGACAAUUCAUUUUUAAAUUGGUUUGGCUAUAAGUGAAACCAUCUGUGUUCAAUUAAUUAAGGAAAAACAAUCGCUGGAAGAAAAAAUAAAAUAUUUUGCUUUUCCACAGUAGACUUUGGUCUUGCUUUCAAAAUUCACUGAAGAUUUAAAAACCAAACAACUCUUCUAGAAAAACCAAACCAAACCACCAAAAAACACACCCAAACCCAUGAAAAAAGACAAAAAACACCACAAACCUUGUUUAUUUCAGAUUGCCCUGCAAUAAACUUUUUGAGUCUUAUUUUUCUAUUCUGCUAAUGAAUAAAAUGUGAUCAGUUUUUUCACAAA